GACGAACGCUGGCGGCGUGCUUAACACAUGCAAGUCGAACGGAAAGGCCCUGCUUUUGUGGGGUGCUCGAGUGGCGAACGGGUGAGUAACAAGUGAGUAACCUGCCCUUGACUUUGGGAUAACUUCAGGAAACUGGGGCUAAUACCGGAUAGGAGUUCCUGCUGCAUGGUGGGGGUUGGCAAGUUUCGGCGGUUGGGGAUGGACUCGCGGCUUAUCAGCUUGUUGGUGGGGUAGUGGCUUACCAAGGCUUUGACGGGUAGCCGGCCUGAGAGGGUGACCGGCCACAUUGGGACUGAGAUACGGCCCAGACUCCUACGGGAGGCAGCAGUGGGAAUUUUGGCACAAUGGGCGGAGGCCUAAUGCAGCAACGCCGCGUGCGGGAUGACGGCCUUCGGUUGGUAAACCGCUUUCGCCUGUGACGAAGUGUGAGUGACGGUAAUGGGUAAAGAAGCACCGGCUAACUACGUG
Molecule: ribosomal RNA, 468 nt
Filed under: uncultured bacterium
Lineage: Bacteria
Description: partial 16S ribosomal RNA
Rfam family: Bacterial small subunit ribosomal RNA
Source: RNAcentral